UGGGGAAUCGUCUAACGGCAGGACAGCGGACUCUGACUCCGCCAAUCUAGGUUCAAAUCCUAGUUCCCCAGCCA
RNAcentral lists this transfer RNA (74 nucleotides) under Gammaproteobacteria bacterium. RNAcentral describes it as "tRNA-Gln". It matches the Rfam family "tRNA". From Rfam's summary of the family: Transfer RNA (tRNA) molecules are approximately 80 nucleotides in length. Their secondary structure includes four short double-helical elements and three loops (D, anti-codon, and T loops). Further hydrogen bonds mediate the characteristic L-shaped molecular structure. tRNAs have two regions of fundamental functional importance: the anti-codon, which is responsible for specific mRNA codon recognition, and the 3' end, to which the tRNAs corresponding amino acid is attached (by aminoacyl-tRNA synthetases). tRNAs cope with the degeneracy of the genetic code in two manners: having more than one tRNA (with a specific anti-codon) for a particular amino acid; and 'wobble' base-pairing, i.e. permitting non-standard base-pairing at the 3rd anti-codon position. Lineage: Bacteria; Pseudomonadati; Pseudomonadota; Gammaproteobacteria. The record is from RNAcentral.